AGUGAACGCUGGCGGUAGGCCUAACACAUGCAAGUCGAACGGCCGCACAGUAAGAGCUUGCUCUUACGGGUGGCGAGUGGCGGACGGGUGAGGAAUACAUCGGAAUCUACUUUUUCGUGGGGGAUAACGUAGGGAAACUUACGCUAAUACCGCAUACGACCUACGGGUGAAAGCAGGGGAUCUUCGGACCUUGCGCGAUUGAAUGAGCCGAUGUCGGAUUAGCUAGUUGGCGGGGUAAAGGCCCACCAAGGCGACGAUCCGUAGCUGGUCUGAGAGGAUGAUCAGCCACACUGGAACUGAGACACGGUCCAGACCCCUACGGGAGGCAGCAGUGGGGAAUAUUGGACAAUGGGCGCAAGCCUGAUCCAGCCAUACCGCGUGGGUGAAGAAGGCCUUCGGGUUGUAAAGCCCUUUUGUUGGGAAAGAAAAGCAGCAGGUUAAUACCCCGCUGUUCUGACGGUACCCAAAGAAUAAGCACCGGCUAACUUCGUG
This 492-nucleotide ribosomal RNA is filed under the name uncultured bacterium. RNAcentral's name for it is "partial 16S ribosomal RNA". It matches the Rfam family "Bacterial small subunit ribosomal RNA", at positions 29 to 507 of the family's 1533-position model. The record is from RNAcentral.